GGGGUUAUAGCUCAGUGGUAGAGCGCGUGCUUUGCAAGCACGAGGCCCCGGGUUCGAUACCCGGUAACUCCA
Coemansia reversa NRRL 1564 is the source of this 72-nucleotide non-coding RNA. The record is from the annotation of a GenBank genome assembly. Lineage: Eukaryota; Fungi; Kickxellomycota; Kickxellomycetes; Kickxellales; Kickxellaceae.